GCCUGGGUGGCUCAGUCGGUUGAGCGCCUGACUUCGACUCGGGUCAUGAUCUCGCGGUUUGUGGGUUCCAGUCCCAUAUUGGGCU
RNAcentral lists this transfer RNA (85 nucleotides) under Felis catus (domestic cat). It matches the Rfam family "tRNA". Rfam says of the family: Transfer RNA (tRNA) molecules are approximately 80 nucleotides in length. Their secondary structure includes four short double-helical elements and three loops (D, anti-codon, and T loops). The record is from Rfam by way of RNAcentral. Lineage: Eukaryota; Metazoa; Chordata; Mammalia; Carnivora; Felidae.